RNAcentral lists this ribosomal RNA (226 nucleotides) under uncultured bacterium. RNAcentral's name for it is "partial 16S ribosomal RNA". It matches the Rfam family "Bacterial small subunit ribosomal RNA", at positions 15 to 189 of the family's 1533-position model. The record is from RNAcentral.
GAUCAUGCUCAGGAUAAACGCUGGCGGCGCACAUAAGACAUGCAAGUCGAACGGAAGUCGUUGUAAUGAUAUAGACAUGGACGGAGAACUUGUUCAAAGAAAGUGAAAGUUGACUUACAACAAUGGCUUUAGUGGCGGACUGGUGAGUAACACGUAAGCAACCUGCCUAUCAGAGGGGAACAACAGUUAGAAAUGACUGCUAAUACCGCAUAUGCCUAAGUAUCAC